Long non-coding RNA from Magnolia sinica, 760 nucleotides. RefSeq lists it as uncharacterized. The transcript is spliced from 2 exons. NCBI's taxonomy places the organism in Eukaryota, Viridiplantae, Streptophyta, Magnoliopsida, Magnoliales, Magnoliaceae. The record is from RefSeq and is a predicted model, not a curated record.
CGGUGGUGAACCAUCACUGAUUGUAGUGUCCUGUCUAUUUAUUCCAUCCUCUAUCCUUCUUCGAAACAAGAGAAUAAUCUAAGGUAGGUUAUCAUCAUCCUUGAAUAGCAUCUUGUAUUUGAAGAAAUGUCGAGCAGAAUGAUCAGAACUGAAAGUACUCUUCGUGUCCAGAAGAUCGAUUGGGAAAUGUCAAAUAUCCUUGUUGUCAAGAACACGGUUAUAGGAAAUGCUGAUAACCUACGCCAAAAGAAGCUAAAGACAUCUCAAUGUGCAACCUUUGUAAGGAUUUGAGUCACCACCAUAGGAAUGGGGGGAGUUGGAAAGAUAAUAGUCAUGCAAAAUUCAAGCCUCCACCAUGUAUUUAGCUAAGUUGUCGAAAGAUUAGAACCCAACAGUACCUUUAAAGUUAUGGAUCUGACAUUUCUAAUCUACAGACAACUCUUGCUCAUCUUAGAAGAUGUUUGGGAAAGAUCAGGUAUACUUAGCUAUGAGCUUUAAAAUCCAUGUAAAGAAAAGCUGCUCGUAUAACUGUUUAUAAACCCAAGCAAUACUAAAGUAUAGUUCAAAAGAAGGAAGGUAAUUCUUCCGUACAAAAAUGAAAUAACGAUCUAAGAUGAGACAGAACGCAUGGUGAGUUUGGGACAUUUUGGAGGAGAAAAAUGCAUGAUAUUGUUCGAGAUAAGAAAAUGCUUAAAGAUGUUUAUAUGUUGGAAAAAUGUUAUUAGAGGAGACAAGCAAACAUAUGCGAUGUGAUUCAAGA